This 72-nucleotide transfer RNA is filed under the name Candidatus Endomicrobiellum porotermitis. Its description in RNAcentral is "tRNA-Cys". It matches the Rfam family "tRNA". From Rfam's summary of the family: Transfer RNA (tRNA) molecules are approximately 80 nucleotides in length. Lineage: Bacteria; Pseudomonadati; Elusimicrobiota; Endomicrobiia; Endomicrobiales; Endomicrobiaceae. The record is from RNAcentral.
GGUGCGGUACCCAAGCGGUAAGGGAGCAGUCUGCAAAACUGUUAUUCACCGGUUCAAUUCCGGUCCGCACCU